RNAcentral lists this ribosomal RNA (403 nucleotides) under Fusobacteriota bacterium. RNAcentral describes it as "Fusobacteria bacterium partial 16S ribosomal RNA". It matches the Rfam family "Bacterial small subunit ribosomal RNA", at positions 355 to 776 of the family's 1533-position model. Lineage: Bacteria; Fusobacteriati; Fusobacteriota. The record is from RNAcentral.
UGGGGAAUAUUGCACAAUGGAGGGAACUCUGAUGCAGCGACGCCGCGUGAACGAAGAAGGCUUUCGAGUCGUAAAGUUCUUUUAUAUGGGAAGAUAAUGACGGUACCAUAAGAAAAAGCCCCGGCUAACUACGUGCCAGCAGCCGCGGUAAUACGUAGGGGGCUAGCGUUGUCCGGAAUCACUGGGCGUAAGGGGUUCGCAGGCGGAAAUGCAAGUCAGGUGUAAAAGGCAGUAGCUUAACUACUGUAAGCAUUUGAAACUGCAUAUCUUGAGAAGAGUAGAGGUAAGUGGAAUUUUUAGUGUAGCGGUGAAAUGCGUAGAUAUUAAAAAGAAUACCGGUGGCGAAGGCGACUUACUGGGCUCAUUCUGACGCUGAGGAACGAAAGCGUGGGUAGCAAACAGG